RNAcentral lists this unclassified non-coding RNA (290 nucleotides) under Hevea brasiliensis (rubber tree). Lineage: Eukaryota; Viridiplantae; Streptophyta; Magnoliopsida; Malpighiales; Euphorbiaceae. The record is from RNAcentral.
CUUAUUUGGAGCAGCGAACUGAGAUCACAACGAGCUGGAGGAAAACUAUUCAACCACACAUCAUGAAUCGACAACUUCAACGACCAUUCUGAACAGAUUUGAGAGGAGGACCGUCAAUUUAUUCACAAGGACGAUUGAGGCGCGAAGAUGAAGACACCUGGAAAUUCUUGUACAAAUGGAUAAGAACGGAGGAGAGGGACGCUCAGGCUGUUUGACAAAAUUUCUCGUGAUUUCGUUCAAUUGCAUCUAAGUGAUUUUUUUUCUAGGUUUUUUUGUUACGUAUGGGGAAG